CUGCUACCUCUUUUUGUGGCCGUGGGGCUCAGGCUGCAGCACCACAGCACUGUGUGCGUAUAACUGGGGCCACCUGCCCCCUCCAAGUGUGGGCCUUUUAACCUCUAUCGACAGGU
Small nucleolar RNA from Rhinopithecus bieti (black snub-nosed monkey), 116 nucleotides. Lineage: Eukaryota; Metazoa; Chordata; Mammalia; Primates; Cercopithecidae. The record is from Ensembl.